Molecule: ribosomal RNA, 484 nt
Filed under: Blastocystis sp. subtype 1
Lineage: Eukaryota; Bigyra; Opalinata; Blastocystidae
Description: SSU rRNA
Rfam family: Eukaryotic small subunit ribosomal RNA
Source: RNAcentral
UUUGGAGGUAGUGACAAUAAAUCACAAUGCGGGACUAUACGUCUUGCAAUUGGAUUGAGAACAAUGUACAACUCUUAUCGAUAAGCCAUUGGAGGGCAAGUCUGGUGCCAGCAGCCGCGGUAAUUCCAGCUCCAAUAGCGUAUAUUAACGUUGUUGCAGUUAAAAAGCUCGUAGUUGAAGUGUGGGUGAUCGCUGUUGUGAGACUUCGGUCUCUCGACAGUAAGUCACCCCCUUCCAGUAUCCAGUAGUGGGUAUUCAGUUACUUACUAUUGUGUGUUGGUCAUUUACUGUGAGAAAAUUAGAGUGUUCAAAGCAGGCGUUUGCUUGAAUAGAUUAGCAUGGAAUAAUAAUUGAAGGCUUUCGUGUUCGAUUUGAUUGGUUUGUUCAUGGAAGCAAGGUUAAAAGGAACAGUUGGGGGUAUUCAUAUUCACUAGUUAGAGGUGAAAUUCUCGGAUUUAUGGAAGAUGAACAAGUGCGAAAGCAA